RNAcentral lists this long non-coding RNA (367 nucleotides) under Lathyrus oleraceus (garden pea). Its description in RNAcentral is "Pisum sativum (pea) long non-coding RNA (PSAT_LNC011508)". The record is from RNAcentral. Lineage: Eukaryota; Viridiplantae; Streptophyta; Magnoliopsida; Fabales; Fabaceae.
AAUUUUGUUUUUUUUCAUAAGUUUAUGAUUUAGUUUACAUAUUUUUUGUUGAAGUGUGUGAUGUUUUUUUUAGGUAUGCCGAUAACUAUUAUUGUCGAGGUAUGCUUGAUAAACCUGACGUGUUUAUGUUAAGGUUAGUUUAUGAUUUUGUAGAUAAAUGAUGUUGUUUGUGUUGUUUGUUGAUAACUGAUUUUGUUUUGUUCAUAAGUUUAUGAUUUUGUUUACAUAUUUUUUAUUGAAGUAUGUUGAUGUUAUGUUAGGUAUGGUGAUAAAUGUUGUUGUUGAGGUAUAUUUUAUAAAUUUAUGUUAAGGUUAGUUUAUAAUUUUAUAGAUAAAAGAUGUUGUUUGUGUUGUUUGUUCAUAAAUU